RNAcentral lists this ribosomal RNA (495 nucleotides) under uncultured bacterium. RNAcentral's name for it is "partial 16S ribosomal RNA". It matches the Rfam family "Bacterial small subunit ribosomal RNA", at positions 30 to 507 of the family's 1533-position model. The record is from RNAcentral.
UGAACGCUGGCGGCGUGCCUAAUACAUGCAAGUCGAGCGAACAGACGAGGAGCUUGCUCCUCUGACGUUAGCGGCGGACGGGUGAGUAACACGUGGAUAACCUACCUAUAAGACUGGGAUAACUUCGGGAAACCGGAGCUAAUACCGGAUAAUAUAUUGAACCGCAUGGUUCAAUAGUGAAAGACGGUUUUGCUGUCACUUAUAGAUGGAUCCGCGCCGCAUUAGCUAGUUGGUAAGGUAACGGCUUACCAAGGCAACGAUGCGUAGCCGACCUGAGAGGGUGAUCGGCCACACUGGAACUGAGACACGGUCCAGACUCCUACGGGAGGCAGCAGUAGGGAAUCUUCCGCAAUGGGCGAAAGCUUGACGGGGCAACGCCGCGUGAGUGAUGAAGGUCUUCGGAUCGUAAAACUCUGUUAUUAGGGAAGAACAAAUGUGUAAGUAACUAUGCACGUCUUGACGGUACCUAAUCAGAAAGCCACGGCUAACUACGUG